Molecule: transfer RNA, 74 nt
Filed under: Paracoccus sediminis
Lineage: Bacteria; Pseudomonadati; Pseudomonadota; Alphaproteobacteria; Rhodobacterales; Paracoccaceae
Description: tRNA_Arg_TCT
Rfam family: tRNA
About the family: Transfer RNA (tRNA) molecules are approximately 80 nucleotides in length. Their secondary structure includes four short double-helical elements and three loops (D, anti-codon, and T loops).
Source: RNAcentral
GGUCCCGUAGCUCAACCGGAUAGAGCAAGUGACUUCUAAUCACUAGGCUGGGGGUUCGAGUCCUCCCGGGAUCG